CUCCACAUCUACUUGUACGAUGUUGAUGGGAUAAGG
RNAcentral lists this small RNA (36 nucleotides) under Bombyx mori (domestic silkworm). RNAcentral describes it as "ovarian small RNA-14665". The record is from RNAcentral. Lineage: Eukaryota; Metazoa; Arthropoda; Insecta; Lepidoptera; Bombycidae.